Long non-coding RNA from Callithrix jacchus (white-tufted-ear marmoset), 1450 nucleotides. RefSeq lists it as uncharacterized. Lineage: Eukaryota; Metazoa; Chordata; Mammalia; Primates; Cebidae. The record is from RefSeq and is a predicted model, not a curated record.
AUCUGCAAAGCAGAGCCAGGAUUAGAGGUGAAGCUGAAAGAAGGGGCCCUCUUGCCAAGCUGCUCCCCGUCCCCUCAGCAGCAUCAGACCCCUGAGCCCUGGGCCACCCACUAAAACUCGUCACUUGAGGGCUUUGCUGCUGGGGUAAUGGGACAGCCAGGGGGUCCUGAAAAGAAGGGGGUCCUUUGGGUUCCCACAUGCCUGACACCCAACACCAGGAGUGGGCGUGGCUGGCGGGGCAUCACUGGGUGCCCUGAAGCUGGUCUCUUGGCUCUGGCCCAUGGUGUGUCCCCCAGGGCAGGGGAACAGCUGAGCUGUUGGAAUGGAACAGAAACCAAAGGCCAAAGUUUUUUUUAUAACUCAUUCAAGGUCACCAAGGAAGCCAGAAAAGAGCCAGCACAAGACCCUGAGGCUGGGAAGUCCAGGCCUGCACUGCCUGCUUGCCACUUAGAGCAGAGGCAACAGCCUGUGUCACCCCUAGACCAGGCCCCAGGACCCAGCACUGGUCCCGUCUCUAUGUGACUUUUCACCCACAGCAAGGUGCCCUUGGCCCUACCCACACAUGGCUGACCUCUAUGCCAGGACCGUCCAGAGUUGGCUCUUUCUAGGCCCAGGUAGACUCCAUCAGCCUCCACCAGUAAUUGUUGACCCAGCUUCUCUAAGGACUGCACACCCAGGUGGUCUGCACACCCAGGGCCACUGCUGAUCAGGCCACCUCCCCCAAGGCCUUCCACCUUCCAGACCCAACUUAGCCUUUCUUCCACAACCUGGACGGCUUUCCGGGCUUCCCAGGCUCUGGCCGGUCCUGCUCCUCCCUCCAGAGCCAUGACCAGUCCCCAGGCCCAGAACAGCCCGGGUGCAGCUGAGGACCCUCCCGGUGGUCACCUAAUCAUACUGGGGUACGUGCUGGACACCCCACCUCCGGAACCCAUUGCCCCUGUCCAGAGCAGCCCAGCCCCGGCGGGCUGGCAGCUCUGUCUGUGCAGACAACGGGAUGCAGCAGGCAGGAUGUGAGCCCCACCACCCGUGGGUCGGAGGCCAAGGGCUUAAGCCCCACGUCCUUUCUGGCUCGCUGAGGGCACUCCGUGUGCCCCACCUUCCCGGCAAUUCUGAGAGGUGGGGGCAGGGUUUAGGUGGAGAGAAGGGCAGGGCGCGGAAAGGGGAGUGGACUCGAGGGGUGUCCGGAGGAUGGGGACGGGAGAAGGCUAGGAAAGUAUUUACUACACAGCAACAGCAAUCAAGGAAUAGUGUGCUACUGGCAGAAGGAUCAACAUAAAUGGAAUAGAAGUGAAAGCCAAGAAGUAGAUCCACACAUCUAUGGUCAACUGAUGUUUGACGAGGGUGUCAAGACCAUUCAAAGGAUGACCCUCACCAGAUGUUGGUGCCAUGCUCUUGGACUUCUCAACCUCCAGAACCAUGAACCACAUAAAGUUCUGUUCUUUAUAAAUUA